UGUUCUGUGGUUUAGUUGGUUGAAGCGCUGGUCUAGCCAACACGGAGUCAUGGGUUCGAAUCUCAUCAGAACGC
Non-coding RNA from Aedes albopictus (Asian tiger mosquito), 74 nucleotides. NCBI's taxonomy places the organism in Eukaryota, Metazoa, Arthropoda, Insecta, Diptera, Culicidae. The record is from Rfam.